Molecule: long non-coding RNA, 246 nt
Filed under: Musa acuminata (dwarf banana)
Lineage: Eukaryota; Viridiplantae; Streptophyta; Magnoliopsida; Zingiberales; Musaceae
Description: long non-coding RNA (MACU_LNC005707)
Source: RNAcentral
UUCGAAAGUGGAUGUAGGUCAUUUGAUUGAACCACUAUACAUCGUGGUGUUCCUUGAAUGUGUGAGUGUUUAAUUUUCUGAACCAUUUCUCUAUUUAGCUGCAAAUCAUUCGGUUUUUAUCUCCCUACUCUUGACCACCUUUACUCGAGCUAUUUUAGCUAAAUAUCCUUCGUCGAAUCGAAAUCUCUACACAUUUACAAAAUUGAUUUUAAACUUACGAGUUUUAAUCCGCUGCACUGAUUCACC